This 497-nucleotide ribosomal RNA is filed under the name uncultured bacterium. RNAcentral's name for it is "partial 16S ribosomal RNA". It matches the Rfam family "Bacterial small subunit ribosomal RNA", at positions 28 to 507 of the family's 1533-position model. The record is from RNAcentral.
GAUGAACGCUGGCGGCGUGCCUAAUACAUGCAAGUCGAGCGAACAGACGAGGAGCUUGCUCCUCUGACGUUAGCGGCGGACGGGUGAGUAACACGUGGAUAACCUACCUAUAAGACUGGGAUAACUUCGGGAAACCGGAGCUAAUACCGGAUAAUAUAUUGAACCGCAUGGUUCAAUAGUGAAAGACGGUUUUGCUGUCACUUAUAGAUGGAUCCGCGCCGCAUUAGCUAGUUGGUAAGGUAACGGCUUACCAAGGCAACGAUGCGUAGCCGACCUGAGAGGGUAAUCGGCCACACUGGAACUGAGACACGGUCCAGACUCCUACGGGAGGCUGCAGUAGGGAAUCUUCCGCAAUGGGCGAAAGCCUGACGGAGCAACGCUGCGUGAGUGAUGAAGGUCUUCGGAUCGUAAAACUCUGUUAUUAGGGAAGAACAAAUGUGUAAGUAACUAUGCACGUCUUGACGGUACCUAAUCAGAAAGCCACGGCUAACUACGUG